GGUUCAGGCAAAAGAAGAAAGGUCACAGGCAAAUGAGGGAGUCAUCCAAGUCUUAGGAGAGUCAUGAGAAAGAUGGACGAGAGUCUUAGAUCUAAGUCAGAUGAGGAAGGUGGUUGCUUGUGUGCCUGUCUCCACCGCUAGACUCACUGCAGGAAAGUCAGGACGGUGUCUGUCUUCCAGAAAUAUAGUUCUCAAUAAAUAUUUGUGGAAGGAAUGAAAAAAGAGGGAAAACAGUAGCUGCCGCUGAUUUAUUUGGACCUUCAAGAUGAUGUCCAGUCACCUCUCUGGCCCACCGGGUUUUGUAGGAUGUGGCCUGAUUCUUCAGUGAAACACAAAUCCCCGCUCUGCCUCUUCUGAGUUCUGUGACUUCAGGU
Molecule: long non-coding RNA, 374 nt
Organism: Zalophus californianus (California sea lion)
Lineage: Eukaryota; Metazoa; Chordata; Mammalia; Carnivora; Otariidae
Exons: 3
Source: RefSeq, a predicted model, not a curated record